This 895-nucleotide ribosomal RNA is filed under the name uncultured archaeon. RNAcentral's name for it is "bacterial SSU rRNA". It matches the Rfam family "Archaeal small subunit ribosomal RNA", at positions 21 to 904 of the family's 1478-position model. The record is from RNAcentral.
CCCGACUGCUAUUUGGGUGAGGAUAAGCCAUGCGAGUUGAAUGGAAUACCUAAAUUUUCCAUGGCAAACUGCUCAGUAACACAUGAUCAACUUACCCUAUAGAGAAAAAUAACCUCGGGAAACUGAGGAUAAUGUUUCAUAGUUGAAAAGGCUUGGAAAAGUUUUUCAAUCAAAGGGAUAAAAAAAAUGGUUUUUAUCCGCUAUAGGAUAGGAUCGUGGUCGAUUAUGGUUGUUGGUGAGGUAAUGGCUCACCAAGCCGAUAAUCGAUAGGGGCCGUGAGAGCGGGAGCCCCGAGAUGGGUACUGAGACAACGACCCAGGCCUUACGAGGCGCAGCAGGCGCGAAACCUCCGCAAUACACGAAAGUGUGACGGGGUUACCCAAAGUGUUCAGUUUUGAACUGUGGUAGGUGAGUAAUGUCCCCUACUAGAAAGGAGAGGGCAAGGCUGGUGCCAGCCGCCGCGGUAAAACCAGCUCUUCAAGUGGUCGGGAUAAUAUUGGGCUUAAAGUGUCCAUAGCCGGUUUAGUAAGUUCCUGGUAAAAUCGGGUAGCUUAACUAUCUGUAUGCUAGGAAUACUGCUAAACUAGAGGGCGGGAGAGGUCUGAGGUACUACAGGGGUAGGGGUGAAAUCUUAUAAUCCUUGUAGGACCACCAGUGGCGAAGGCGUCAGACUGGAACGUGCCUGACGGUGAGGGACGAAAGCCAGGGGAGCGAACCGGAUUAGAUACCCGGGUAGUCCUGGUCGUAAACGAUGCAUACUAGGUGAUGGCAUGGCCAUGAGCCGUGUCAGUGCCGUAGGGAAACCGUUAAGUAUGCCGCCUGGGAAGUACGGUCGCAAGGCUAAAACUUAAAGGAAUUGGCGGGGGAGCACCACAAGGGUGAAGCCUGCGGUUCA